GUUGCCAUGAGGCCAGGCCUGUUCCGAGGGAUGGUUGUUGACUUGUUGGCAUCUAGUCCUUAGGCACCCAUACUGUUUAUCCUUUGUAGCGGGCAUGUGUGGUAGGUAAUGAGAAACUAUUUAUGAUUGGUGGACAUGAGGGAGACUUUAUGACUAAACCAGGAUCACCUGUUUUUAAAUGUUGGUGGAACUACAGAGAAGCAUGCCAUCACCAAGAAGCUGAUUCUUGUUGGUGAAGUCUUCCGUUUUGAUUUGGAAGCAUUGACCUGGUCAGUCAUUGGGCGCAUGCCUUUCCGAAUCAAGACAUCCUUAUCUAGGUACUGACUACUGAGAGGGGAGGGGGGGCGGCUCUGUUUUACUUCUGGGCAGCGAGAUCAUGGGCCUGACAAUCCAGCUCCAAAGAAAGUUGUUGGGAGUCUGGGACUAUGUGGAGAACGAGGCUGCACUUGUGAUGGCAGAAGUUGUGACAGUUUGUUUCCCCUGAAAAUUGUAGAUUUGCAUCUGAUUUCCUGUCCAACAGCUAGGUCCCUUUCAGAGAAGAGAGUUGCUUGUUUUGAUUCCCACAUCCGGAAUCUGAAGUUCAGAGAUGUCUCCAAACAACCAGAAGAUAUGUACGUAAGCAACUACCAAAGAUCAUUCUUAUUGGAGAUAUUCAGCACAAAGCCCACCCACCAAAUAAUCCUGAUGUUCUUCUUUCCCUAGCUGUUCCAGAGAGGUCGGAACUGUUUGGGGCUUUCAUUAGCCAAUUAAAAUAUUAAGUAGCAAGCUGAGUACCAUGUCAGUAUUAAAUCUGUCUCUGUAAUUGCCUCCGAAAUUGGUGUGCGUGUUUCUCAUCUUGUUGGUUUCUUAGUAUAUGUAAUCUGCACUCAGAGGUACAA
Molecule: long non-coding RNA, 878 nt
Organism: Zea mays
Lineage: Eukaryota; Viridiplantae; Streptophyta; Magnoliopsida; Poales; Poaceae
Exons: 3
Source: RefSeq, a predicted model, not a curated record